GAGUAAUGUCUGGGAAACUGCCUGAUGGAGGGGGAUAACUACUGGAAACGGUGGCUAAUACCGCAUAACGUCGCAAGACCAAAGAGGGGGACCUUCGGGCCUCUUGCCAUCAGAUGUGCCCAGAUGGGAUUAGCUUGUUGGUGAGGUAACGGCUCACCAAGGCGACGAUCCCUAGCUGGUCUGAGAGGAUGACCAGCCACACUGGAACUGAGACACGGUCCAGACUCCUACGGGAGGCAGCAGUGGGGAAUAUUGCACAAUGGGCGCAAGCCUGAUGCAGCCAUGCCGCGUGUAUGAAGAAGGCCUUCGGGUUGUAAAGUACUUUCAGCGGGGAGGAAGGUGUUGUGGUUAAUAACCGCAGCAAUUGACGUUACCCGCAGAAGAAGCACCGGCUAACUCCGUGCCAGCAGCCGCGGUAAUACGGAGGGUGCAAGCGUUAAUCGGAAUUACUGGGCGUAAAGCGCACGCAGGCGGUCUGUCAAGUCGGAUGUGAAAUCCCCGGGCUCAACCUGGGAACUGCAUUCGAAACUGGCAGGCUUGAGUCUUGUAGAGGGGGGUAGAAUUCCAGGUGUAGCGGUGAAAUGCGUAGAGAUCUGGAGGAAUACCGGUGGCGAAGGCGGCCCCCUGGACAAAGACUGACGCUCAGGUGCGAAAGCGUGGGGAGCAAACAGGAUUAGAUACCCUGGUAGUCCACGCCGUAAACGAUGUCUACUUGGAGGUUGUGCCCUUGAGGCGUGGCUUCCGGAGCUAACGCGUUAAGUAGACCGCCUGGGGAGUACGGCCGCAAGGUUAAAACUCAAAUGAAUUGACGGGGGCCCGCACAAGCGGUGGAGCAUGUGGUUUAAUUCGAUGCAACGCGAAGAACCUUACCUGGUCUUGACAUCCACGGAAGAAUUCAGAGAUGGAUUUGUGCCUUCGGGAACCGUGAGACAGGUGCUGCAUGGCUGUCGUCAGCUCGUGUUGUGAAAUGUUGGGUUAAGUCCCGCAACGAGCGCAAC
Molecule: ribosomal RNA, 998 nt
Filed under: Salmonella enterica
Lineage: Bacteria; Pseudomonadati; Pseudomonadota; Gammaproteobacteria; Enterobacterales; Enterobacteriaceae
Also listed under: 2 other names
Description: bacterial SSU rRNA
Rfam family: Bacterial small subunit ribosomal RNA
Source: RNAcentral